AGUGGGGGGGUUGUCUGCUCUCAGGCCCCGCCUCCCCGGGGCCGGCUCGGGCCACUUCUUGCGCGCUGCCAGAAGGAGCUAUUUUGAGCAGAAUCUAUUUGCUGAUCUCCAGUCUAGAGUGUUACUGAUGGGUUUCUGACACAGAAAUAUCUGGCUGAGAUGGUCCAACAUACCGGGAAACUCAUUCUCUCCUAUGAGAAAGUCAUAUUCUCUGAUAGCAUCUUUGGUCACCUGAAACCUAGUGUCCAUUGAAGGCACAGCUCUGGGAACUGCAAAACUGUUCUGUGGAGUGUUAUGGAGAGUAAAGCCAGGCAGACCAGCUGCUUCUGAGGGCUGUGGAUAAAAUAGAGAAUGAUACACUUACAUCCUCUACCUUUUGUUUCCAGGCACAGAUCAUUUCAGGUGCCUUCUGUGCAGAAAUAGCUGAAUAAACUUGGAGCUUGGUCUCUUUGUUGUUGAAUUUACAAUGUUAUUUGAAUGUAAGACCUUGUAGAUAUGACAUUUGAAAGUUAGGGCUCUGGAAUGGCACUGCCUGGCUUCAGAUCCUUCAUUUUUUUGCUAAAUGACAACAAACAAGAGGCUUAGGCUCUGUGCCUCCGUUUCAUCAUAGUCAAUUCUGGUAUUUGCAGUAGUUAUGUUGAAUAAAGUCACCCAGUACACGGACUUAGCAAAUACUGCUCCUUGGAAACCACAGCUCCUAGGGAAGAUACAGGGUUAGGUUCCUGUGAACCUCUGAUCACAACAUUUUUAUCAACAGAUCAAUAUACAUAACUUUGUUUUUGUGUGUGUGUUUCUAUUAAAGAUGCUUUAUUUAGGCCAGACACAGUGGCUCAUGCCUAUAAUCCCAGCACUUCGGGAGGCCGAGGCAGAUGGAUCACCUGAGGUCAGGAGUUCAAGACCAGCCUGGCCAACAUGGUGGAACCCUAUCUCCACUAAAAUCACAAAAAUUAGCCAAGUGUGGUGGCCCAUGCCUAUAGUCCCAGCUACUGGGGAGGCUGAGGCAGGAGAAUCACUUGAACCCGGGAGGUGGAGGCUACGGUGAGCCAAGAUCACGCCAUUGUACUCCAGCCUGGGCAACAGAGCGAGACUUCAUCUCAAACAAAACAAAACAGAAACAAACAAAAAGAAGCCUUAUUUAAUGUCUAUUAUUGACUCAUUAAUUAACAUUGAAAAUGAGAUGGGAAUAAUAUAGGGUGGUCACAGGAGAAUUAAAUUCCAGGCAGCAGUUUUACAUAACUAGAGACUAUCGUCUUCUAAGACCCUGAAAAGCCAAGGUAUGAACCAAGCUGGCUAAGACCAACUGGACCCAACAUGGUGCUGGGCUUGACCCAGGCUUCCCCUAGGACCUCAUUAUGUGCUCAUUAACAUACUAAACACACAACCACCAGUACCAUGACAAUUUCAGGAACACUCAGAUUUGGCGCAUAAAUGGGUGACACCACCGCUCCAAGAAAUCUCUACCUUUUCCCAGGAAUUUUCAUGAAUAUUCCACCUCUUGGUUGAAGAAACCCAUAAAGGUAGAAACCCCGAACCAUUGCUCGACUUUCUCUUGAGUAGGCCUGCAUUCCUCUUUCUUGAGUAUGUAAUUUUCACCUGGUAAUAAGUCUUUGUACUUUCACUAUUUUCUGACUCAUCCUUGAAUUCCUUUUCGUAAUGACGUCAAGAGCCCGGGGUCAAGGUCCCACCUGCGUUUGGGCACCUCCCCAGCCCACUGGUAUCAAACCCACAGACAAUGGCAUGUAACUCAUGCCUGAAUGAAGUACAUCUAACAUGUAUUUUCUCCCUAAGACACACCUUUUGCACUGAGGAACACUAGAUAACACUUCAACCCUACGUGUGGGGGCCAUUUAAAAAUGCAAAACCGCCACCCAAAAAAAAGCAAAAAAUGACAAAAAUGUGGCGCUAAACAGACCAAGAAAAGGACAGUUGUUGGCAGUAGGUGAGCAGAAAUGAGGGCAGAGAGAGAGUGCUUGCUGGGUCUCAGCCAGGGACUCCAACACGCGGCGACUCGGAUUUUCCCCACUCCAGGCACAUGGCAUGUACAGGCUCAUGGCCUCAGAAACGCUGCAAGUAUUGAUUUGUGGGGGGAGGGGGGGAGGUUACACAUAAAUUUUUUACCUACUAAGUGAAUUUGCAAAUGUGGAAUCUAUGAAUCAUGAGAAUCAACUGUAUGCUAAAACAGAGGAGUAAUAGGACCUGCCUCAUCAGAUGGCUAUGGGAAUUCAAUGAUAUAUGAGUGCAUGUAAAUUGCUUAUAAUGGGGCAUUACACAGAGAGGACUGAGUAUUAGCCACUUUUUUUGUGUGUUUUUUUGUUUGUUUUUGUUUUGCUUUUGAGAUGGAGUCUUGUCCUGUUGCCCAGGCUGGUGUGCAGUGGCGCGAUCUUGGCUCACUGCAACCUCCACCCCCUGAGUUCAAGCGAUUCUCUUGCCUCAGCCUCCCUAGUAGCUGGGAUUACAGGCGUGUGCUACCACACCCAGCUAAUUUUUGUAUUUUUAGUAGAGACG
Molecule: long non-coding RNA, 2505 nt
Filed under: Homo sapiens (human)
Lineage: Eukaryota; Metazoa; Chordata; Mammalia; Primates; Hominidae
Description: HSALNT0363501
Source: RNAcentral